UAAUACGAAGGGAGCUAGCGUUGUUCGGAAUUACUGGGCGUAAAGGGCGUGUAGGCGGUACCAUAAGUCAGAUGUGAAAGCCCUAGGCUUAACCUAGGAGGUGCAUUUGAUACUGUGGAACUAGAGAUCGAGAGAGGAAAGUGGAAUUACGAGUGUAGAGGUGAAAUUCGUAGAUAUUCGUAAGAACACCAGUGGCGAAGGCGACUUUCUGGCUCGAUACUGACGCUAAGGCGCGAAAGCGUGGGGAGCAAACAGG
Molecule: ribosomal RNA, 256 nt
Filed under: uncultured bacterium
Lineage: Bacteria
Description: partial 16S ribosomal RNA
Rfam family: Bacterial small subunit ribosomal RNA
Source: RNAcentral